This is an RNA transcript of Ipomoea triloba (trilobed morning glory), 2285 nucleotides long. It is a transcript of the gene named presenilin-like protein At1g08700, with no coding region annotated. NCBI's taxonomy places the organism in Eukaryota, Viridiplantae, Streptophyta, Magnoliopsida, Solanales, Convolvulaceae. The record is from RefSeq and is a predicted model, not a curated record. The transcript has 5 exons.
UAGGAAUGACCGCAAUUGGAAAGUGUGGCACUUUACUAUUGGCAAGUGGCAACUUCUCUACCGAAUAGCCGGGGACUCGUUCCCAGUCCUAAUCGGUCCACCAGCUCCGGCGCUCUCCGAUCAGAUUCCUGCUCAUCCUUCAUAUUCGGCUGCACAGAAAUUGAUCGGCGCCGACACCGCUACGCCUACGCACCUAAAUCGGUUGCAUAAAGAAGUGAACAACCCCUUCCAUUUUGUUUUUUUCUAAAGGAAGAGGGAUUCCCCCUCAUCUACGUAGUUUCCCGUCGCCGGAAUGGAUUACGGCAGCAUUUUAGAUACAAUCGGAGGGGAGAUUACCGGCGUGAUGGCUCCGGUCUCCAUAUGCAUGCUUCUGGUGGUCCUCAUUGUUUACUCACUCUCUUCCCCUACCAACCCCACCGCCACUAUCCAGACUGCUGCAAAUCUGGUAUACCUAGAGAAUCCUUCUGAUUCCACUGCUCAGAAACUCGAAGGCGCUCUCCUCAAUGCCUUGGUCUUCGUCAUUCUCAUUGCUGUUGUCACCUUUGUCCUUGUGGCCCUCUACUACUUCCGCUUCACAAACUUUAUCAAGCAUUAUGUUCGAUUCUCUGUCUUCUUUGUGUUGACGUCCAUGGGUGGCUCCAUCUUCCUCUCUCUUAUCCAGCACUUCAACAUCCCCGUUGAUGCCAUCACCUGUGCUUUAUUUCUUUUCAAUUUCAGCAUUGUAGGAGUCAUUUCUGUGUUUGCACAAGGGGUGCCUAUUCUGCUCAACCAGAUGUAUAUGGUGGCUGUUGGUAUCAUUGUGGCUGUGUGGUUCACCAAAUUGCCUGAGUGGACCACUUGGGUUUGCCUUGUGAUGUUGGCUUUGUAUGACUUGGUUGCAGUGUUGGCCCCUGGAGGACCGCUGAAAAUUCUGGUGGAGUUGGCUUCAACGCGGAAUGAGGAACUCCCGGCUCUAGUUUAUGAGUCCCGGCCUAGAGUUCAGAGGAGCAGAAGUCCUGGGGUUGGACUUUUGCUGGCUGGUUUUUCUAAUGGAAGGUCAGUUGAGCUUACAGCCAUUUCUGGUAAUACCAGUAGUGAUGGCGAUGAUCAGAAUGUGAGUGGUUUAGUUGGUGGAAACAAUCCACAUUCAGCAAUAAAUGUCCCAAAUGAAAAUAAUGAGAUUGAGGUUUCAACUGAGUAUGAAAUCGCGGGGGAAACGUCUCCAUUGAUGACUAGCAGUAAUUCGACAGAAAGGCAAUUGGCAAAUGGGGAGAUUAGGCGCAAUGAAAACAGAGAAACGAGAGAGAGGGAAAGUGAAGAAGAGGAGAGAGAGAGGGGGAUCAGGCUUGGAUUGGGGGACUUUAUCUUCUACAGUGUGCUGCUAGGAAGGGCUGCAAUGUUUGAUCUGAUGACAGUGUAUGCUUGUUACCUUGCUAUCAUAUGUGGAUUGGGAUGUACACUUAUUCUGUUAGCUGUGUGCCGGCAUGCUUUGCCUGCACUUCCAAUUUCAAUUGCUCUGGGGGUUAUGUUUUACUUUUUGACAAGGCUCUUGAUGGAGCCCUUCGUUGUUGGUGCUUCAACAAAUCUGAUAAUGUUCUGACCUGUGCUGCACAAAGCUAUUUUGCUGAUAACAAGUUCACUUGAAUUUGAGGAUAUUUAUGUUUUAGGGUGGAAGAGAUAGCUCUGGUGAUAGUCUAUUGCCAAUGAUUUGUAAAUUGACAGAACUCGGAAGACUGAUUCUUGAACUGGUUUCUUAUCCUGAAGAAAUACUAGUAGUAUUAUCUCAUUUACAAUGGCACCAGAAUGGAUGCUUAAAUUAACAUGUGAUCUCAUAGUACAGCAUUCUAUUGAAGUCAAAUUUGAUUCUGCAUAGGAUGAGGAUUGUCUAGGGUGUUCUGGAUGCAUCGGUGUUGAGUUCAUCAUAUGUUAUAUAGACAGGUCCAAUGGCAAUUCUCGCUGGGUUCGCAUAUGGCUAUGGCACAUGUUUUCAACAGCGAGAGGGAAUUAUCAUGCAAUCUGCAGUGAAUACUAAUAGCGAGUGGAGUCAAAAUUCAUCAAGAAGUUGUUCAACGACGAUUCCGAUUUGUCAAUGUAGCCAACCUUUGCAGCUUCGAACGUCGUGGACGAACGAUAAUCCGGGCAGGAGGUUUUGGGUUUGUACGAAGGAUAGGGAAAUGAGUGUUGGUGGGUGUGGAUUUGUAAGCUGGUAUGACCCACCAAUGUGUUCAAGAUCAAAGUCAAUAAUUCCCGGAUUGUUACGAAGGUUAAAUCGGAACGAUGAAGAAAUUGAGAGACUGCAAUCGAAA